AUUGAACGCUGGCGGCAGGCCUAACACAUGCAAGUCGAGCGCGAAAAUUCCUUCGGGGAUGAGUAGAGCGGCGGACGGGUGAGUAAUGCGCAGAAAUCUGCCCAGUAGUGGGGGACAACCUGGUGAAAACCAGGCUAGUACCGCAUACGCCCUACGGGGAAAGGCAGGGGAGUCUUCGGACCUUGCGCUAUUGGAUGAGUCUGCGUCGGAUUAGCUUGUUGGUGAGGUAAUGGCUCACCAAGGCGACGAUCCGUAGCUGGUCUGAGAGGAUGAUCAGCCACACUGGGACUGAGACACGGCCCAGACUCCUACGGGAGGCAGCAGUGGGGAAUAUUGGACAAUGGGCGAAAGCCUGAUCCAGCCAUGCCGCGUGUGUGAAGAAGGCUCUAGGGUUGUAAAGCACUUUCAGUGGGGAAGAAAGCUUGUUAGCUAAUAACUGACGAGUGUGACAUUACCCACAGAAGAAGCACCGGCUAA
This 477-nucleotide ribosomal RNA is filed under the name uncultured bacterium. RNAcentral's name for it is "bacterial SSU rRNA". It matches the Rfam family "Bacterial small subunit ribosomal RNA", at positions 30 to 500 of the family's 1533-position model. The record is from RNAcentral.